CCUACGGGAGGCAGCAGUGGGGAAUUUUGGACAAUGGGGGCAACCCUGAUCCAGCCAUGCCGCGUGCGGGAAGAAGGCCUUCGUGUUGUAAACCGCUUUCGGCCGGAACGAAAUCGCCGGGGAGAACAUCCCCGGUGGAUGACGGUACCGGAAGAAGAAGCACCGGCUAACUACGUGCCAGCAGCCGCGGUAAU
RNAcentral lists this ribosomal RNA (194 nucleotides) under uncultured bacterium. Its description in RNAcentral is "partial 16S ribosomal RNA". It matches the Rfam family "Bacterial small subunit ribosomal RNA", at positions 338 to 524 of the family's 1533-position model. The record is from RNAcentral.